RNAcentral lists this ribosomal RNA (506 nucleotides) under Zymaus angustus. RNAcentral describes it as "partial 16S ribosomal RNA". It matches the Rfam family "Bacterial large subunit ribosomal RNA", at positions 1859 to 2622 of the family's 2925-position model. The record is from RNAcentral. Lineage: Eukaryota; Metazoa; Arthropoda; Insecta; Coleoptera; Curculionidae.
CUGCCCAAUGAGUAGUUAAAUGGCCGCGGUACUUUGACCGUGCAAAGGUAGCAUAAUCAAUAGUUUUUUAAUUGAAAGCUGGUAUGAAAGGUCCGAUGAGAAAAUUACUGUCUCUAUAAAAAUUUUUUAGAAUUUUAUUUUUAAGUAAAAAAGCUUAAAUAAUAAUAGAAGACGAGAAGACCCUAUAGAGUUUUAUUAAUUUUUUUUAGGAGGAAUAUUAGGAUUUAUUUUUUUUUCUAAAUGAAAUUAAUUUAGUUGGGGAGAUUGAAAAAUUUAUAAAACUUUUUUUUUAUUUAAACAUUAAUUUAUGAAUAAUUGAUCCUUAAGUAAAGAUUAUAAGAAAAAAUUACCUUAGGGAUAACAGCGUAAUUUUUUUAGAGAGUUCAUAUCGAUAAAAAAGAUUGCGACCUCGAUGUUGGAUUAAAAUAAAAUUUUGGUGUAGGAGCUAAAAUAUUUGGGUCUGUUCGACCCUUAAAAUUUUACAUGAUCUGAGUUUAAACCGGCGU